UGGUCAGGGCUUUCCGAGCAAAAAUCACUGGCAACCAGGGUUAAUGAGUGUUUGAAUAUUAAGCAUAACUUGCAAAUUGUAGACCUCCAAUUCGCAGAUUUUUCGUCCCAACAGUCAUUUACUUACAUUCAUCCGAACGUGUUAUGAACACUUAGGAACCUUCCCUACUCUCCCAGAGAGGAUUCCUUCAUAAUGGCAAGGUGAGACAAAAUAGUUAUUAUCCAAACCAACACCCCCUUGAGAAUAAGUGGAACUCUCCCAGACAAAUCUAAAUGUAAUGCCUAGAAAGAGCAACUGAAUCAUUCCUUCAUCUUUUUUUAUGGGAACAUAUGAAGCUGUGCUAAAUUGUGUGGUGGCAGUGAUGACAGCCAUGGCCCAUCUGGAGUGGCUGCUGCAAAGACAACGGCUGCAGCAGGUGACAGAAAGGAGAGAAGAGAAAGAAGAGCUGCAGCCCUUCGGGGAGCCCAGAAUAGGAGUUCCUCAAGCCAAGACUGUGACACCCUCCUUGGGGCUCUGUGGUUCCUGGCAUCUUCUAGCUUCCAGAUGCCACCAUUUUCCCCAGUGCCCAUAGUGGAAGCUGCUUCUUGUAUGUCUGGUCCAGCCACAGCCUCUCAGGGAGCUGGUGUCUGUGAUGGCAUGUGUAGCUGACCACCCUGCCACAGCCAACAUGCCUGGCUGUGUGCAGUAGCUGGAUGCUGUGCUCUCUUGCUCAUAUACCCCUCUCCGCUCCACACUGGACUCGCCCUUGGCAGGCAUGGGAUCCAGGCUGGUAGCACUAGCCUAGUGCGGUUUGCUAGGCUAAGUGGGCAGAACAAACCCAGUGGGCCCAAGCAAAACUUGGGCAAAAGCACCACAGGCCACAGAGGUUUUAGGCAGGCGAAGUGACACCCUAGGUCCUGUGACAAUGGCAAGCUAAUAGUCUUUGCUGAUCGCUUCUUUUUUCUUGGAAAUAAAAAGAAAGAUCAUCAGAUAAGAGGAAGGAUACAGGAAGAUAUUGGAAGUCUAAUAAAAAGGGAGAAGUCAUAAAGCAAGUGAGCAAAUGAAUGAACUAGAGAAUUGCUUAAGAAUGCUAAGCAGCACUAAGGUGGGUGGUUGCAAAUGUAGCAUUGUUACAGGAAGCUGUUGUUCAUUGUACACAUUUUUGCCAGUCAUAUUUGGCCGUGCAGGCAAAAAUUAGUUGGAGAGUUGGAUUUUAUUAGGGUUGGCAUUUUAGCAAGUAAGUACAAUGAAGUUAUAAAACAGAAAGGAAGUUUAAGGAUAGCAGGAAGUGACUAUAAUUUUAAAAAAACAAGGACUCUAAUAUAAGUCAUUAGAGAAAUGACCAUUUGAGGUGGGUACAGACAAUCAAGUUAUAUGAGCAGUGAAUUAUAUAUAGCAAUAGAGGAAAGAAUUGUCAGAGUACUGGGAAUGAGCUGAGAAGUUAAGAGGUGGAGGUGAAAAAGUGAAGGAAAAUGCUGCAGGGAUUUUGGUUAUUUCAAAUGAAAAGGGACGAGAAUGAUUGAGGUAGGUUGGAGACACGUUAUUGGAGUAUAGGAAGUGAAAAGACAUACAUUAAAAUAUGAAAAUUAAUUUUUACAUGGAAAUUAAAUUGCCACUAAUUACAAAAGCAGUAAUGCUAGAGAAUGGUAGUGAGACAGGUGCUAAAAUCUUAAAGAACAGGAGUAAAUGAAUCAUCAGUAGAAGAUGGCACCAAGGAAGGAGAGUAUAGAUAUAGUUUGAAGAUAACAGACUUAGAUCUGAGUGCCUGGAAACGGAAAUGAGAAACAAGGAGGAUAUGGAACCCUCUUCUGGCUACUCUGUGAUGGGGUUACAGGGGAAGCAGAGUUCAUAGGAGAAACAGAUUUCAGGUUGAGCAACAAAUGAUGGAACAAUUAGAGAAGACAAAGGAGAAUUUGCUCAUGGUGGACUGAACUGCAGGGUACCAUCAGAAUAUUUUAGUCUUCAGAGAGAAAUGGAAGAUGAGGCCUAUUAGAAAUAUUUGGGGUAGGAAUCUAAAGAAUGAGUGGUAUCCUGGGAGUCUUGGGCUUCUUAUGGUUAUUGAUGUAAACAAACAAAAGGUAUAUAGGAUUAGUUCUGGUAGCACAAAGAAUUAAAUGGUAGUAACAUUAUGAAAAACAGGAAUGGGGAGGAGGUGUUCACUAUUACAUCCACAUGGUUUAUAAAAGUCAUAUUAUAUAGAAUGGUAUAUAUGAAGUGUGAAAUUAAUCAUCCUACUUAACCCUCCGUAUUCACUAAGAACAGUUUAUUUGUAUUCACUGAAAAUUUCUAAGCACAUGUGAAAUAUAUAUAGAUAGACAACUAGCUCUAAUUAAUGUUUCUGUAAUUGCAUGCCUGCAAGUAUAUUUGUAUUAGUCUGUUUUCACACUGCUAAUAAAGACACACCGGAGACUGGGCAAUUUACAAAGGAAAGAGAUUUAACGGACUUACAGUUCCACAUGGCUGGGGAGGCCUCACAAUCAUGGCGGAAGGCAAGGAGGAGUGAAUCACAUAUUACAUAGAUGGCAGUAGACAAAGAGAGAGCUUGAGCAGGGAAACCCUCAUUUUGAAAACCAUGAGAUCUCAUGAUACUCAUUCACUAUCACGAUAACUAUGCAGAAAAGACCCACCCCCAAAAUUCAAUCACCUCCUACCGGGUCCCUUCCAGAACACAUGGGAAUUGUGAGAGUUACAAUUCAAGAUGAGAUUUUGGUGGGGACACAGCCAAACCAUAUCAAUAUUUAUAUAGAACAAAGAUACUGUUCAUUCUGUUCUUUUAUCUCAUUGAAUUUACCUUUGGAAUAUUUAUUCAAUAAUCAUAUGUGAAUGUAUCUUACUUUUUAAAAACCUUCCUGCAUUAUUUAUCUUUGCAUUGAUUUAUUUAACCUUUUGUCUACUGAUGAACAUUUAGGUUGUUGACAGUUUCUUUUGGACUUGUAAGCAAUAAACAUAUUGCUACAUACUUCAUUUCACAACAUGUAUGAGGGUUUUGUAUAAUAUGAAAACCGUGAAAAAAAAUUUAUACUAAAUUAUACUAAAUAAUGUUUUUUAUGUUAAAUGUUGGUACUUACUGAUAAAUUGCACCCCCUCUAUCCACCAAACUUACAAAAAUAUGUGCCGGCAUUUCAUGAGAUACACUGCACAAUAUGGAUGCUGGCAAAUUUUUAAAACUUGUCGAUUUUCUAUUUGAAAUUUUAAAAAUCCUGCUUUAAUCCAAAGACUUUCAAUGACAAAGGUGGAAAUUUUGGUAACGAUAUAUACACACAAAAACACAUACUUUAAGAGAUGUUAUUAAGCCAGGUGAAAAUAUUCCAUAUUCCACAAAUCACUCUACCUGAACAGUUUCUCUCACCUUUUCACAGGGCUAGUCUUGAAUCUGAGCAGUAUAUAUCGACUUUCCCACUUGCUGUGAAGGAGAGAAAUGAUUUAUUUGAUAUCUAUUCCAAAUACACACAAGCCAACUAGGGAGGCAGUCAGAAUUUUACUUGAAUGAUUGCAGCAUAUUUUUUUUUUCUUUUCUCCCAGGCAUGUAAUAUUUAAACUUUUGGCAUAUGUCAAAGAGUGCUUUACCUCUGGCAAUCACAGCAGGUCCUUUGAGGAAUGCUCAGCCUGGAACCCAUCCCUGGAUGUCACAUCAUUAUAAACACAAUUUCCAUCUUCUCAGUUAUCCCCUAUACAUGUGUUGAAACCUUAACUUCCUUUUCUCAACAUGAAAUGUCUUAGUGACACACUUCUAUUUUUUCCAAGUAUUUAUUUACCUUUACUGAUUCAUUUUAUUUUCCUUCAUUUUAUGUUAUUUUGUUUACUUAAGAUGAGGUAUUAAAAUAAAGUUUUCUGAUGAAAUCACAUAUUUGUUUAAGAAAAACCAACUAGAGACUAAUAAAGUAAAAUCUGUUGAGUUUAUGAAAUAAUUUCAUACUUUAACGUGUGUCUAUUUCAAUUAAAAUCAUAUAUUUAUAUAACUUUUUUCUCUAAAUAGUUGAUAUAAAGUCAAGGAUGCCUCUUUUAAUAUUGACUGGGUUCAGAACACACUGCCCUAAAAUAGGGCACCAUCACAUUUGGAAAAAGAAUAGAAGCAGGAAUAUCACCCUCACCUUCCCCUUCCCUCUCCCCCCUCGAAAACAAGCCAUAAAAUCUGGCUAACCUUCACCUGAAGUAGGUCAUAACACCCUCAUUGCUGUUCUCUCCCUAUACCCAGAGGAUUGCCAUUAUCUCUGAAGACACAGGGACACACAGAAAAAUCUGAGCAAACAGGCUUUGCUAAGUUUCCCCCAGUUUAUUAAUAUUAGGUCAUACUUCUCCAAGAUGGUCCAUUCUUUAUUAAAUCCAAGCACAAAAUGUAGAGGUUUUUCUGUUUCUUUGGAUCUUCAUUUCUGCAGGCUCCUGUGUAACAUAAAACUUACAUUAAGCAGAGUUUUAUACUUUCUUCUUGCUAAUCUGGCUUUUGUUACAGGUGCCUCAGCCAUGAACUAAGCAGUGGGUAAGAAAAGAGAUAUUUCCUCUCUUAGGCAUACACCAAUAGACAUUUCAUAUCUCUUUCUUUCACAAAUCACACAUUUAAUAUAUGAUGGGCAAUUUCUUUAGAUGGGAAUAUCAAUGUAGAUGCCAUCUAGAAAAAUGAAAUUUUAGUAUCUUGUCUUUUUUAAAUGCCUCACCUACCUCUAAUUUGACAUUUUUAGUGAUUCACCUUUACCAAAUCAUUCCAAUAUAUUUAAUUUAGUUUUGACAUAAAUUACUAUCUCUUUUACAUAAGUUUCUUUGGUCCUAUUUUCAUUAAUUAAGCUAUGUAAUGAUAAUAAAUAAAAGAAAAAGAAAUAUUUUAAGCAAGCACAAUGGACUCUUGAUAGUCAAGUUGCUCCCCUAAAGGGAACAAUAGUGCUAGGGCA
Molecule: long non-coding RNA, 4862 nt
Filed under: Papio anubis (olive baboon)
Lineage: Eukaryota; Metazoa; Chordata; Mammalia; Primates; Cercopithecidae
Description: lncRNA (ENSPANG00000050888.1)
Source: RNAcentral